Molecule: long non-coding RNA, 4996 nt
Filed under: Zea mays
Lineage: Eukaryota; Viridiplantae; Streptophyta; Magnoliopsida; Poales; Poaceae
Description: long non-coding RNA (ZMAY_LNC002515)
Source: RNAcentral
UUCUACAAAGACAUCAAAUCUUCACAUAGUAGUUUCAUAAAGCCAUCAAGUUCGCACACAACAGUUUCACAUAGCCAUCAAGUUCACACACAAAAGUUUCACAAAGACAAGUUCACACAAUCAGUUCAACACAGAGAUCUAAGUUCACAUAUAAGUUGUUUCACUUCCUUAGCUGCAUCAUAAGCCACCUCUUCCUCCUUUCCAUUGGGAGUGCCAUCAUCGACUCAAACUUGCGUGCAUUAGAGGUGAGGAUGUCAUAAAGCUCAAGUUCUGUGUCUUCAUCAAGUCCCUCAACCUCUUGUAAUGCGGCGAGAACUUCGGCGGAAGAGGGUAGCUUUGGACCGUCAUCUUUCAAUGCAGAUGUAAGCAUGUCGAACUUAUCACACCAUAUAGAGUUAAAUGAAUCAUCUGAUCUUUGUCUUUUUAAACUACUCGAGGAAGAUACAGAAUAUGGAGCAUCCUUGCCUCUGGUAUCAUUCUCUUUUGCCAUUUCCUUUGAACUUUCAGCUGUUGCUUUAGCACCCUCUCCAUUUGCUUGGUCUUUAUUGUACACUAGGCUGAGUAGAUCCCAAAACUUCACAACCUUAUGUCUAUAUCCUUUUUCUUCCUUAUUCCUCUAUAAAAAAAUUGUUACAAAGAUACAUCAACAAAUAAACUUGGAAUUGAAACAUAAACUAAGCUGCAAGAAAUGGAAUAAACUACUAGGCAACAGUAGCAUGCAUGACCAAUUUGGAGUAAAAAUAAGAACAAAAAUUCUUCACAGUUUACAGUUCAGCAGUAGAAUUUGGAGUAAAAAUGGAAUAAACUACAAAAAUUGAAAGUAAUGGCAGUAGUGGCAGACAAAGUAGUUUACAAAGCUAACAAAAAUUCUUCACAGUUUACAGUAGCGCACGGUGAACAAAACAGGCCUAAGCAGUAGCGCACGGUGAAGAAAAUUCUUCACAGUUUCCUUAAAACUAAGCUUUGCUAACACCAGUAGUGGCAGACAAAGUAGUGCACAAUUGAAAAUAUACACUACUUUGUUAGCCGCCCAACAAGACAGGCCUAAGCAGCCAAGCUAAGCUUUCCUUAAAUAUACACUCAUAUGUACAGUUUACAGAUAGCCUGACCAGUGCACGAUGAACAAAAAUUGAAUUACAAAAAUUGAACUGCAAAUAUUGAACAACAAAAAUUUUCUUACCUCAACGUACUCAUCCCAUACAGUGUCACUAUCAACUUUGAGCUUGUUCUUCUCCCAAUCCCAUCCAAAACCACUAGUGGACAACAAACCAUUAACGAUAUUGUAGUGCUUAUCAAAGGUCUUGCUACGAGAGCUAAUAUUUUCCUUUGUAAUGGUGACAUUACACUUCUCACAAACAUUCUUCACAGCAGCUGUGUAUACAUGAGACUUCCACCCAUUCUAUCUAUCACAUUUAUUGUGAUAGUCCACAAAUGUAUCAAGGAGUACCUUAUCCAUCUCAUCAUUCCAAGGAACAUAGCCCCUUGUUUUCUUGUCCUACAAUCAAAGAACCACACAUAUAAAAAACACAAACACAAAAAUUCAUAAAUGACAAAGACAUAGAAAACAGAAGCAUACAACUAUGAGCUUUGACCACGCCUCGCUUGAUAAUCAAUAAACAUUUCACUAGCUUUGUGUCUCUAAAAUAACCCCACUCAUUAGUUGAUUGAACAUGCGUAAUCAUACUCAUUUCUCCUUGAUUUUCAGCAGGAGCAGCAGAGAUGAGACUAUCAACUUCAUGUAUUAGAAUAUCGUCCAUAUCUCUUUGUAUAUCCCUUAAAAAUUAUGCAAUAUGCAGCAAGCAUGGAUGAUCCUAAUCUGCAUAGAAUAAUAUGGCUAAGUCAAUACACAAUUUAAAAACUAACGAUUGAAUUUUAAUUGAAUACCUAUUAUGUUAUACCUGGUUUUCUAAAUCAAAAUAUGAGCUAGUCCUCAAGAUUGCCCAUCUCAUCUUCAAUAGCCCAAAAGUUCUCUCUAUCACAUUCCUAGCUGUUGCAUGGCGUAGGUUGAAUAACUCUCUCGCAGUAGAUGGAUUGUUGCCUUGAAUAGCCCAUUCAUUCAAGUGGUACCGUGUAGAUCGGUAUGGGGCAUGAAAUCCCGGACCAUUUGUAUAUCCAGCAUCCACUAGAUAGUAUUUACCACUAGGAACAACAAAUGAGUCCUCCCGUGACAUGGCAUCACGUAGUAUGCGUGAAUCCGAAGCCGACCCUUCCCAUCCAGCCAAGACAUACAGAAACUUCAUUUAUCGAUCACAAACCCCCAAUAUAUUAGUGGUGAUUCGUUGCUUCCUAUUUCUGUACCUACCUUGGUCAGUCAAUGGAACAUUCAGAUCGAUAUGUAUGCCAUCUAGUGCACCUAGGCAGUCCUCAAACAAUUUCCACUUUGGAUCCUCAGGUAGAGUGGUUUCUGGAUUAGGGAGCUUGAUGAACUCAUGACUUAAAGAUAGAAUCCCUCUAAGCACUUCGUUGAAGUGUCGACUGAUUGGUUCAAGGGACCACCCAUAAGUGCUACGAAUCAACCUCAUUUUGGUGUUAUGACCUACUAUAAGCAGAAAAAUUACAAGCUUUUCUUCUACCGACACAUUUAGGGUAUCUUGUAGGCCACUCUUUUCCCGUAAGAUGGCACUCAAGUCACUAAAAGAUCUCUUAGUUAGGCGCAAACUGUCAUAGCAAUAGACAUUUGAACCAUGGUACAUAUUACGUAGCAUUUGUUUUCUGCACUCGACAUUUCUCUCUUGAACUUUGUUAGCAUCUGCGAUGUGUCUAGGUCUCCUCCGUUGAUACCGGUUUGCAAUAAUAGCCAUAAUAGACACAGCUAAUACAACAACUCUCUUUCGCUUCUUUCUCUUCCUUUUAAUUUCCUCCUAUUGAGUUGAUAUCUAGAACAAGUAAUUUAUAUGCAAUUAGACAUGCUAGUUGAAAGCAAAAUGCUCUACUCAAGAAUAAAAACACUACUAGUAGGAGCACAAGGUGGAAUAGGAGAAGUACCGAUGUAGCCAUGGAGAUUGAAGGAUUUGUUCGAGGUAGCUAGAUGAAACUUGAGGCGGCAAAUCCCAAAAUAGCGAGCUGUUUUAACACUCCUGCAAAUGAUUUGUUGGAGGUAGUUAGGCGAGACUGCAAAAAAACUUUGUUGGAAACAUUACUUAACACACAAAAGAAGAAAAAGUAGAUUCCUGAACAGCAGUAGCACAUCUCUAUUGAUCACAUAGGUUUCAAGUGAGGGAGUUCAGAAGACAUCAGAAUAGCUACAUUUCUUAAAAAUGGACAGGAACCAAAUAUCCACACAGAUUAUUUAUGCCCUCGGACAAAGCUACAUUACAGUCUCCCCGAUCGAAGCAAACUAAUGGAACAAAUGCUAGUAAAUGACAGCCUGCAAGCUAAGGUACGAACUAUGUCUGCACGAUUAUAACUAUCAAUAGUGGAUUUAAUUCUAUGUAUGAAGUGGUAACUAUAUCCUCCCCUGCAUGAUUAACCAACCAAUAAUUGAUUACAAGGACCAGCCAAACAGCCCUCGCAGUCAGUUCCAGUUCAUCGGCAGUUCAGACUUCAGACUACCUCUGAUCUGCUAAUGCCUUCCUGUCAUAAGAGUUCAGAGCAACGUAAUAAUGUACCCUUAAGACUGAUGGUGAAGAAUAACAAGAACAUGUGGGGAUUGCCGUAUAGUAUUCGUUUACACCAGCGCAUACACCAGCGCAUACACCAGCGCUACCUGUAUUCUUGCUAAAACUACCUAUAGCGCAUACAUCACCGCUACUUGUAUUGCUAAAACUACCUGUAUGCCUUCCUGUAUUCUUGCUAGAACAUGUGGGCAUCGCAUACACCAGCGCUACAAAGGCAAAUACGAAUUAAUCACGCGACGGCAAAAGAUUUUUCAAGGACUACAUGUAUUCUUGCUCAGAAUUAACCAGCGCUACAAAGGCAAAAACUACCUGUAUUCUUGCUUGGAAUUAAUCACGUGGCAUAAGAUUUGGAGGGAAGAGGAUCAGUAGAGAACUCACCCAAAGAACAGGGGAAACGGAGUCUGGCGAGGCUGCGAUGGCUGCCUCCGUGUGACUUGGAGUGGAGCGGCGGAUUGGAGCAGAGCGAUGCCGCGAGCAGGGAGCGGGUCGGCGUGAGCGACGAGCAGGGAGCGGGGCGGCAUGAGCAGCGAGCGAUGUCGCGAGUAGGGAGCGGGGUGGCGUGAGCGGCGAGCAGGGAGCGAGACGGCGUGAGCGGCGAGCGAUGCCGCGAGCGGAGCGGGACGGCUAACCCUAGCCACUUUCUGACGCUUUCCGAUGGGUGAUGGUCUAAAAUGAGACAAGGCCAAAUUUUUAGGGACGAGAAAUGGGCUGAAAUGGCCAAUUCAAUUCUAAGGGGAUCCAAACAGGCCGAGAUAUGGAAUUUAAUUCAAUUUGGACCAAUUCUAGGGAACCAAACGGGCUGUUACGCCCCGUUUGGAUGCCUAGAAAUGAAACCUUUUCCAAGAAAUAAAUUCCAAGAAAUGAAUUAUAUAGAAUUCAAUCAACUAGAAAGUGAUUCAAUUCCAUUAUUUUUGUUUGGUUGUACAAGCAAUUGAAUUCCUAGAAUUAAAUUCUAGAUGUUGUUUGGAUACUUUGCAACGGAAUUUGAAUUUGAAUACAAACAAGGAUCUCUUGACUUUGCAUCAGCUUAAAAAUGAGCAUGAACAAUUUACAACUAUCAGAAACUAUUAAGUUCACAAAUAACAAUUCCACAAAGGCAAGUCACACAUAACAGUUUCACAAAGUCAUCAAAUUCGCACAUAAAAGUUCUACAAAGACAUCAAAUCUUCACAUAGUAGUUUCAUAAAGCCAUCAAGUUCGCACACAACAGUUUCACAUAGCCAUCAAGUUCACACACAAAAGUUUCACAAAGACAAGUUCACACAAUCAGUUCAACACAGAGAUCUAAGUUCACAUAUAAGUUUUUUCACUUCCUUAGCUGCAUCAUAAGCCACCUCUUCCUCCUUUCCAUUGGGAGUGCCAUCAUCGACUCAAACUUG